Molecule: long non-coding RNA, 2669 nt
Organism: Salvelinus sp. IW2-2015
Lineage: Eukaryota; Metazoa; Chordata; Actinopteri; Salmoniformes; Salmonidae
Source: RefSeq, a predicted model, not a curated record
CAUGUUAAACACUACUAUUGCACACAAAGUGAAUCCAUACAACUUUUUAUGUUAAUUUUUCAGCAAACCUUUACUCCUGAACUUAUUUAGGCUUGCCAUAACAAAACGGUUUAAUACUCAUUGACUCGACAUUUCAUCAAAUUUUUUAAUUACACAAUUCCACCUAUUGUGUGUAGGCAAGUGACACAAUCUCAAUUUAAUCCAUUCAAAUUUCAGGCUGUAACACAACAAAAUAUGGAAAAAGUCAAGGGGUGUAAAUACUUUGAAGGCACUGUAUCUGUUGUGUGAUUGGUUGAGGCUUCUUGGCUAACAUUGUCGCCGAGGAGGGCUUGCUAGUUAGCUUCAGUAUUUGCGUAAUCUCAGACGUUUUCUUAUAAAAACAGCUCAACUACUAGCUAGUYAAAUGCUAAUUGUGAASCUGGCUAGCUAACAUUAGCUAAUAGCUAGACCACAGACAAAAGGGUAAACCUUAGUUUGGAGUUAGCUGGGUUUCUUUCAUUUUUGUAACUGUUCAGCCAACAACCUAUGGGAACCCCUUCCCAUGAUGUGAUUGAGAUGCUUAAUUAAGUACCACAGUAUGAGUCAUAUCCAUAAAACCCAGAAAUGGUUAGUUUUCCACCAGUAAUUUUUUUCCGUAGGGGAUUUUAGAACUACUUUGUAUACGGUCUGUGUUUCGUGUAGGCUUAUCCUGGCGUGYCUUUUGAUAAUCACACAUAUCUCUCUCAGACAAGGUAACUUUUAUCAAUAUAUUCGCCUGUAAUUACCCCCCAAAAAUGAAACGCUAAUGUGGCUAUCAUACAGAACUCCUGCCGCAAGCUUUGACGUAAUCACUCAAGGCGCAGGGUGGGAAAAUCCUCCACAAUUCUCAAUGCAAACUCUCAUCGACAAGUAGCAAGUGACCUAGGAAGUAGAUAUUUUAACGUUUUUAGUUUCUUGUGUAAAUUAUUUAGAUUGUGUAUUUCUAGUAUGUAUUCUUGUUAAUUUUUCCAAUUACCUAGCUAGCUACCMUAGCAUUUUUUMAUUACUAUAAAAAAAAAUAUUACCCUGGCCUUGUAGCUAACUAUCUAACCUUAGGUCUCUCCGUCYAUCAGAAGCAGGGAUGGUURUGUGCMYUUUACCGGAUUGUAACCACCACUCCGAUAAGCACACGUGCAUUUUAUCAUUUUCCGACCUCUGUAAGUGAGAGGCAUCGCUGGAGCUGUGUGAUAAGAUGAUGCAUGAGGAUUGGGUGUAGAGGGACUACUUGUCACAUUGUGCAGUUGUAGAGACUACAGGAUAUCAAGCCUGUGGACGGACAGUCUAAACAGGAGUACAUUCCUCAGACUAUUUAGUACAUCCCUCAGACCAUCAGACAUCCUGUGCUAGUGUGAUCCGAGCAUAAGUGUCAAAGUUGUGGAGACUACAGCACAUCGAGCUUAUGGACGGACAGAUUAUGAGGCAUGACAUGCUGAACAUCAGACUCACCCCACGAGAAGCAGUGCAUGAUCAACACCACUCUCAGUAAGGAGAUCUGUUGGAAAUUAUGUACUCUCUCUCUUAAUCUCUCACUCUGGCGACAACACCCCAUCCAACGACUGAUCUGAAGACCCUUUUUAGCAGCGACGGAGUAACACGCUUGGCCCUAACCACUACUCCAUAAUUGCUGGCCGUCAACCUCCCUCUCCUCAUGGUGUGCCUGUUGGGGUUGGUGCGCUGUCCAACUGUUGCCUGCCGUAUAACUUCCUGAAAUGUGCUAUAUAAAUAAAGGUUGAUUUGAUUGAUGACAUUACAGCUGUAGAAUAUUUAAUAAACUGUCAUUUUCACAAGGACAAGUGCACUUUUUCACAAAUUAUUAAUUGAUAACUUGGGAUUUUAUCACUUGACAUAUCGAUCAUAUAGUGAGAAGGAUCCUACAAAUCAAGAAUGUGAACCACUCAGAAUAAAUAAAUACUGUGCCUUUGAAGAUUUGUCUCUGGUCAUGAAACUACAAUACACAGGCUGGAUGUCUAWGUCAAUUCUGAAUGUCAACAGAUUUUUUUGAUUUUAGGACUAAGUUAUACCUCAUCUAAGUCUGGUACCCGGGGUAGUCUGGUUAAUGAUUAUAUAAUUGAUUAAGUGACUCUUGACAGCUGUAUAGAACGCAUUGUAUUGCUAAGAUGCUCAAAAGUAAAACAAAAAUAUUUUUUUAUCUACUGCUCUGCUAACUAGCUAGAUAAAGUGUAGCCAGUGGCUAGAUAAGACAGAGAAAGGGGACGUAAGCAGUUCAACACUUUAUUAAAUUCAUUUCAAUAGAGCACAUGGAUUCAUCAUGGAUUGUUCACAGAAGGUCUUUGAUCACGCUGGUGAAUGGUAGCUGACAGUGUUGGCUAGAGAUGACGUGCAGGAGCUUCCUGUUGGAAUUUGUAGUCUUGCUAAGGUCUUCUCUGUUGCUAAUUAGCAUUUCCAUUUUUUUGAGAGUAAAUUGAGGUGAAUAUAUUGAUAAAACUCACCUAGUCUGAGAGAAUUACACAGCUACACUAUAUAUACAAAAGUAUGUGGACACCCCUUCAAAUUAGCAGCACUAGCCCCUCGCCAAACAGUUAGAGUCCUGAACUACUUCGACCAGUGGUCACCAACCGGUAAAUAGCAAUCCUCAUAGCAUUCCUAGUUGAUCACCAAACAUUUCUGUAGAAAAGCCAAUGAUAAAGACU